Molecule: transfer RNA, 86 nt
Filed under: Candidatus Bathyarchaeota archaeon
Lineage: Archaea; Thermoproteati; Candidatus Bathyarchaeota
Description: tRNA-Ser
Rfam family: tRNA
About the family: Transfer RNA (tRNA) molecules are approximately 80 nucleotides in length. Their secondary structure includes four short double-helical elements and three loops (D, anti-codon, and T loops).
Source: RNAcentral
GCCGGGGUGUCCGAGCGGACUAAGGAGCUGGCCUUGAGAGCCAGUGCCCCAUCGGGGGCACGCGGGUUCGAAUCCCGCCCCCGGCG